AGGACGACGCUGGCGGCGUGCCUAACACAUGCAAGUCGAGCGGGGUUGAGGCGAGAGGUAACUCGAGCUUCUACCUAGCGGCGGACGGGUGAGUAACGCGUGGGCAACCUGCCUCAAGGUUUGGGAUAACAGCCCGAAAGGGCUGCUAAUACCGGAUAUGCCUAUGGCCUCGCAUGGGGCUAUGAGCAAAGGGGAAACCCGCCUUGAGAUGGGCCCGCGUCCCAUCAGCUAGUUGGUGAGGUAACAGCUCACCAAGGCGACGACGGGUAGCCGGCCUGAGAGGGUGACCGGCCACACUGGGACUGAGACACGGCCCAGACUCCUACGGGGGGCAGCAGUGGGGGAUCUUGCACAAUGGGCGAAAGCCUGAUGCAGCGACGCCGCGUGAGCGAAGAAGGCCUUCGGGUUGUAAAGCUCUGUCUGGAGGGACGAACAAAAUGACGGUACCUCCGGAGGAAGCCACGGCUAACUACGUG
RNAcentral lists this ribosomal RNA (476 nucleotides) under uncultured bacterium. Its description in RNAcentral is "bacterial SSU rRNA". It matches the Rfam family "Bacterial small subunit ribosomal RNA", at positions 33 to 507 of the family's 1533-position model. The record is from RNAcentral.